AAACCCUGAUGCAGCCAUGCCGCGUGUGUGAAGAAGGCCUCGGGUUGUAAAGCACUUUCAGUAGGGAGGAAGGUAGUGUAGUUAACACCUGCAUUAUUUGACGUUACCUACAGAAGAAGCACCGGCUAACUCCGUGCCAGCAGCCGCGGUAAUACGGGAGGGUGCGAGACGUUAAUCGGAAUUACGUGGGACGUAAAAGCGCAUGCAGGCGGCCUGUUAAGUCAGAUGUAGAAAACGGCCCGGGACUUAAACCUACGGAAAUUGCUAUUUAGAAAACUGGCAGGCUAGAGUCUUGUAGGAGGGGGUAGAAUUUCAGGUGUAGCGGUGAAAAUGCGUAGAGAUCUGAAGGAAUACCAGUGGCGAAGGCGGCCCCUGGACAAAGACUGACGCUCAGAUGCGAAAGCGUGGGGAGCAAACAGGAUUAGAUACCCUGGUAG
This 437-nucleotide ribosomal RNA is filed under the name uncultured bacterium. Its description in RNAcentral is "bacterial SSU rRNA". It matches the Rfam family "Bacterial small subunit ribosomal RNA", at positions 378 to 793 of the family's 1533-position model. The record is from RNAcentral.